CCUACGGGGAGCAGCAGUGAGGAAUAUUGGUCAAUGGACGAGAGUCUGAACCAGCCAAGUAGCGUGAAGGAUGACUGCCCUAUGGGUUGUAAACUUCUUUUAUAUGGGAAUAAAAUGUUCCACGUGUGGGAUUUUGUAUGUACCAUAUGAAUAAGGAUCGGCUAACUCCGUGCCAGCAGCCGCGGUAAUACGGAGGAUCCGAGCGUUAUCCGGAUUUAUUGGGUUUAAAGGGUGCGUAGGUGGAUUGUUAAGUCAGUUGUGAAAGUUUGCGGCUCAACCGUAAAAUUGCAGUUGAAACUGGCAGUCUGGAGUACAGUAGAGGUGGGCGGAAUUCGUGGUGUAGCGGUGAAAUGCUUAGAUAUCACGAAGAACUCCGAUUGCGAAGGCAGCUCACUGGACUGCAACUGACACUGAGGCUCGAAAGUGUGGGUAUCAAACAGGAUUAGAUACCCUUGUAGUC
This 460-nucleotide ribosomal RNA is filed under the name uncultured bacterium. RNAcentral's name for it is "partial 16S ribosomal RNA". It matches the Rfam family "Bacterial small subunit ribosomal RNA", at positions 338 to 795 of the family's 1533-position model. The record is from RNAcentral.